AUCCCCUGAUCAUGGUCCCGAAUACGUUUGUCGCGAACACGCUUUAAUUAAAUGGCCGCCGCCAUGCUUCGAUAUGUGGAUGGGGCAAUGCCCGGCAAGACUUUGAAACGCAGAGCGUCAACGCCGGAGCGAUUGGCAAAAAAGCAUGCCAGUAGUAAAAAAUACGAGGAAAACCGGCCAUCUCGUAAUGUGAACGGGAAGUGGCAAGACGGCAGACCGUGGCUUGUCCUUGACUUUGCCAAUAACAGUAUGACCUGUAAAACAUGCAUCGAGCAGACGGAUAAGCAUGUCCAAUGAAACAUUGAACAACCUUCUGCUGGUCAAACUCCAGAGUCCGUGCAUCCCAGAAUUUAAUCCUAAGGAUUCCAUUGAUGACUGGCUUGUGAGUUUGUUUUGCCAAUGCUUUAAAUACUUUUCAAAUUGUUGCCUUUUCUGGUUAGUUACAAAUGAAUUAUUUCAGUAGAUCUAGAUGAUCUUCAAUUCUGACUGAUGUGCUUGAAAUCCUAUGUCUAAUUUUGUAGCUCUCAUCUUUGAUGCCAAGGUGGCCACACUACCGAAGAUCUACUGGUAAAAGAGAGAAACGGACUGACCUGGAAAAUGUAACCAAUGCAGCUGGUACAGCCCACAACAACAUUGAUGAGAUUGGUAAUCCUACUCACCUACAGGAUGGGGCCCAGAUUGAGAGAGAAGAUGAUUUAGAGACUGAAGAGAUUGAGAGAAGUUGUUAAUAGUUUUGCAACGAUCAUGUGUGUCUUUUGGAUCCUUUGUCAUAAUUAAGAGAUUGUUUAAGAGAUCAAAUAAAAGUUAUGAUGAAAUGACUGUUGAUAUUUUGUAUUUUGUUGACAACAAUUCCAGACAUUUUGUCAUACAAUGUAGGUGUGUUAAUUCUUCUACAAAGAAGCAAUUUUAUCAUCUACUCUAGAAUUGUAAAGCAUAUAAUGCAUAUCUUCCGCAGACUGAAUGUCCUGUAAUUUCUUAAAGUUUAUCAGACCGAAAUGUCCUGUGAAAGUUGAUUCGGUCUGGUAAAUAUUCAGAGUUCACCAGACCGAAUGUCCUGUGAAAAAAAGUAAUAUUUCGCAUGGU
Long non-coding RNA from Pecten maximus, 1083 nucleotides. RefSeq lists it as uncharacterized. The record is from RefSeq and is a predicted model, not a curated record. The transcript has 3 exons. NCBI's taxonomy places the organism in Eukaryota, Metazoa, Mollusca, Bivalvia, Pectinida, Pectinidae.